CCUACGGGAGGCAGCAGUGGGGAAUAUUGCACAAUGGGGGGAACCCUGAUGCAGCGACGCCGCGUGGGUGAAGAAGCGCCUCGGCGUGUAAAGCUCUGUCAGCAGGGAAGAAAAUGACGGUACCUGAAGAAGAAGCCCCGGCUAACUACGUGCCAGCAGCCGCGGUAAUACGUAGGGGGCAAGCGUUAUCCGGAUUUACUGGGUGUAAAGGGGGCGUAGACGGUGAUGCAAGCCAGGAGUGAAAGCCCGGGGCCCAACCCCGGGACUGCUCUUGGAACUGCGUGGCUGGAGUGCAGGAGGGGCAGGCGGAAUUCCUGGUGUAGCGGUGAAAUGCGUAGAUAUCAGGAGGAACACCGGUGGCGAAGGCGGCCUGCUGGACUGCGACUGACGUUGAGGCCCGAAAGCGUGGGGAGCAAACAGGAUUAGAUACCCGGGUAGUC
Molecule: ribosomal RNA, 440 nt
Filed under: uncultured bacterium
Lineage: Bacteria
Description: partial 16S ribosomal RNA
Rfam family: Bacterial small subunit ribosomal RNA
Source: RNAcentral